RNAcentral lists this ribosomal RNA (253 nucleotides) under uncultured bacterium. RNAcentral describes it as "partial 16S ribosomal RNA". It matches the Rfam family "Bacterial small subunit ribosomal RNA", at positions 524 to 776 of the family's 1533-position model. The record is from RNAcentral.
UACGGGGGGGGCAAGCGUUGUUCGGAAUUACUGGGCGUAAAGGGCGUGCAGGUGGUCUGUUAAGUCUGGCGUGAAAGCUCCUGGCUAAACCGGGAGAGGUCGUUGGAUACUGGCGGACUAGAGGACGGUAGAGGCGUGUGGAAUUCCGGGUGUAGUGGUGAAAUGCGUAGAGAUCCGGAGGAACACCAGUGGCGAAGGCGACACGCUGGGCCGUACCUGACACUGAUACGCGACAGCAUGGGGAGCGAACGGG